Molecule: ribosomal RNA, 468 nt
Filed under: uncultured bacterium
Lineage: Bacteria
Description: partial 16S ribosomal RNA
Rfam family: Bacterial small subunit ribosomal RNA
Source: RNAcentral
GACGAACGCUGGCGGCGUGCUCAACACAUGCAAGUCGAACGGAAAGGCCCUGCUUUUGUGGGGUGCUCGAGUGGCGAACGGGUGAGUAACACGUGAGUAACCUGCCCUUGACUUUGGGAUAACUUCAGGAAACUGGGGCUAAUACCGGAUAGGAGCUCCUGCUGCAUGGUGGGGGUUGGAAAGUUUCGGCGGUUGGGGAUGGACUCGCGGCUUAUCAGCUUGUUGGUGGGGUAGUGGCUGACCAAGGCUUUGACGGGUAGCCGGCCUGAGAGGGUGACCGGCCACAUGGGGACUGAGAGACGGCCCAGACGCCUACGGGAGGCAGCAGGGGGGAAUAUUGCACAAUGGGCGGAAGCCUGAUGCAGCAACGCCGCGUGCGGGAUGACGGCCUUCGGGUUGUAAACCGCUUUCGCCUGUGACGAAGCGUGAGUGACGGUAAUGGGUAAAGAAGCACCGGCUAACUACGUG